CAGCAGCCGCGGGAAUACAGAGGGUGCGAGCGUUAAUCGGAUUUACUGGGCGUAAAGCGUGCGUAGGCGGCUUCUUAAGUCGGAUGUGAAAUCCCUGAGCUUAACUUAGGAAUUGCAUUCGAUACUGGGAAGCUAGAGUAUGGGAGAGGAUGGUAGAAUUCCAGGUGUAGCGGUGAAAUGCGUAGAGAUCUGGAGGAAUACCGAUGGCGAAGGCAGCCAUCUGGCCUAAUACUGACGCUGAGGUACGAAAGCAUGGGGAGCAAACAGGAUUAGAUCCCCGUAGUCCCUGUCUCUUAUACAC
Molecule: ribosomal RNA, 301 nt
Filed under: uncultured bacterium
Lineage: Bacteria
Description: partial 16S ribosomal RNA
Rfam family: Bacterial small subunit ribosomal RNA
Source: RNAcentral